CUGUUGCUUUACUCUGAUUUUGAUGAGGAUUUUGAUUUUAUUUUGAAUUUUUCACAAUUUCUCGACCUAGAUCUAGCAGUCUUUGUGUUUUCUGUUCACUUGUUAUUUAGUUGCUAAAAGUAAAGCAACAAACAAAUAUGAAUUCAAUUUCAUUUAAAAAAUUAGUUUUCAAAAUUUGGCCUUGUGCCUUUGUUCAAGUUCCCCUCAAAAGGAGCUAUGGUAAGUCGUUGAUUAAUAUAAUUAUUAAUACUAAAUUGAAAAUGAAUUAAAUAUUCACAUAUUUUAGGUUGUGGCACGCUGAACUGCUUCAUGCCUGGUCCCAUGAUGCCGUUGUCCGUUGCCUCUGUUUCGUAUUGUCGUUGUGUCCCUCAGUCUUGUAUUGUCGUUGUGUCCCAGACUUACGGCGUUGUGCUCCACAAGACCUCUUCUGAAGGCCGCGACGCCCUUGGCCACAUCGAGCUUAUCCGAUUCCUGCAGAACAAAGCGACACAGCCACAGGAAGCACAAUUACGAACACAUUACACAAAUUUUGAAUAAAACAAACAUUUAGAGCACUAAAAUUUAGUAAUGUUUACCC
This 577-nucleotide long non-coding RNA is filed under the name Drosophila guanche. Lineage: Eukaryota; Metazoa; Arthropoda; Insecta; Diptera; Drosophilidae. The record is from RNAcentral.